This 254-nucleotide ribosomal RNA is filed under the name uncultured bacterium. RNAcentral's name for it is "partial 16S ribosomal RNA". It matches the Rfam family "Bacterial small subunit ribosomal RNA", at positions 524 to 776 of the family's 1533-position model. The record is from RNAcentral.
UACGGAGGGUGCGAGCGUUGUCCGGAAUCAUUGGGCGUAAAGGGCGCGUAGGUGGCCCGGUCAGUUCGUGGUGAAAGCGCGGGGCUCAACCCUGCGUCGGCCAUGAAUACUGCCGCGGCUGGAGCACUGUAGAGGCAGGCGGAAUUCCGGGUGUAGCGGUGGAAUGCGUAGAGAUCCGGAAGAACACCGGUGGCGAAGGCGGGUCUCUGGGCAGUAACUGACGCUGAGGAGCGAAAGCGUGGGGAGCGAACAGG